Long non-coding RNA from Lucilia sericata (common green bottle fly), 1982 nucleotides. RefSeq lists it as uncharacterized. The transcript is spliced from 3 exons. NCBI's taxonomy places the organism in Eukaryota, Metazoa, Arthropoda, Insecta, Diptera, Calliphoridae. The record is from RefSeq and is a predicted model, not a curated record.
CAUUUUUACCAUUAUUAGCCAAAAACAAUUGGAACAUGUGGAAAAUAAGGUGAUUUCAUGUAAAAAAUAUAAAGAAAACAACACUGCAACAACAAAAUCAAAACAAUAAUACAACGAAAAGAGAACACUAAAGAAAUAUCAGAAAAAUAUAAAUAGAGAAACAAAAAUAACAAAAUAAAGAGCGAAAAUAAGUGUUAAACGAAAGAAAAAAAAAUAUGAUAAUUUAAGAGAAUUACUCUCACUAUUAUUGUUGUGUUUAUUUUUAACCCCUAAAAGGCGAAAAUGCGCAAGUUCAACACACCAAGUUGUGUUGUGUAUAUUCUUGUGUAUAUUGUGCGAGGGCGAAACAAAGUGGCAAGUGAAACAAAACACUCCUUGAAUUUUUGCUCAAACGAAAUUGUCUGCAUUGUCACCGUUUCAAUCGCAAGUUGGAUUCAGGCCGAAAUAAACGUUAAACGAAAACGUAUGUUAAUGCUACGCGCGCGUUUAUUAUUAUAAUUCUUAUUAAAGUUUUAAGGGUGUUUAAAGCACACAAAACAAGUAGAAAAAAAAUCAAGAAGAAUAAAUAUAUACAGAAAAUAAAUCUCUUUAAUAAAAAAAAGAAAAGAAUUUGUGUGUGUUUAAUAAAAAAAAAAGAAAUUUACUUUAAUUUAUGAAAAUUUAAGCAAAAUAUAAGAAAACGAAUAGAAAAACGUUAAAUUUCUAAAUAAAAGAAAAGAUUUCACAUUGUUCGAAGAAAAUUAAGGAAUAGUUGUCAUCAUCGCAACAAUACCAAACAUAAGUCAGGAAAUAUUAAAAAAAAGAAAGUCCUCAAAAAACCCGCUAAUUGAACAUAUUUAAAGAAAAUCAUUAAAAUUUUCGAAAAAAAGACCAAGAUAAAAAAUGUUUGCAAAUGUCUAAAGUAAACUCGCAGCCGGGAUAUUAGACUCUUUUUAAAACAUAAUUUUCGGUUGAUUUGUAUAUAUGUAAACAAUAUUCGGUAUUUUUUAUAGUCGUUGUCUAUUUGUCGUAUUCGUCGUCAUUGUCGUUGUUGUAAUUAUUUUUGUGUCGUCAUCGUAUUCGUUGUUGUCUCGUAAACGUGUGUAAUUAAUCCCUCUAAUAAUAUUAAAAAAAAAUAUAGUGUCCUAUCCAUAACGGUGUAUUAAAAGAAAGUGCGUAUUUGUAUAAAAAGAAAUCGGUUUAAGCUGUAAUAUUUAUAAGAAAUUUCCUAUAAUACGAAAAGCAUUUCUUGUAAGACGCUAUAUUUGUAGAUAAAUUAACUAAAACAAGUUUACAAAACGUGUAUAACAAUACAGUUUUAAUAUACAACAAAAACUGAAACCCAAAAUUUAAGAAAAACCUUAAACAAAUUGUAUAUAACAACAACAACAGCAAAAAUAACGAAAAAUUUAAGUCCCUUUGAGGAAAAGAAAAACGGCGAAACAUAUUUGAACAAAAGCGAAAAGAAAAUAUUAUACAAAUAUUGUUUAUAUGUAUUAGUGUGAGUGAGUCUGUGUCAUUUACAGUUGUAACGGUAUUUAUAUAAAAACCAAAAUAAACAAAUAAAAAUCAACCACCCCCCAUUAUUUUGUUUGGAAAUAUUCAUCUUUACUGUUAACUCUCAACUUUAACUAACAGUUUUUAUUAGCCGCCAUUUUUUAAAUACUUUGUUUGUGGAUUUAAAAACACUGUAAAAACAACAACUACAGCACCAAUUUGAAAUCCCAUUUAUGGCAGUUGGAAUAAAAAUGGCCUUCUAUUAUAAUUUUAUGAAAUCCUUUUAAUUUCAUUUUGGGAAUUAAUUCACUCUACAGUUUAUCACAAUUUACAUAGCUGGAGCAUUAAGGAAUUAACGGGAUUGAAGUGAUCAUUGGGAAAAUUGCGGAAUAUAAAGGUUCGUUAUCCAACCUAUAUAUUAUUAAAUGACAUCAAUUUUGUAAGUAUAUAUUAACUUAUAAAAGUAAAAUCUCAAGAUAUUUUCACUAUAACUAUUCGUAUGUUAC